Molecule: ribosomal RNA, 465 nt
Filed under: uncultured bacterium
Lineage: Bacteria
Description: partial 16S ribosomal RNA
Rfam family: Bacterial small subunit ribosomal RNA
Source: RNAcentral
GACGAACGCUGGCGGCGUGCUUAACACAUGCAAGUCGAACGGAAAGGCCCUGCUUGCAGGGUACUCGAGUGGCGAACGGGUGAGUAACACGUGGGUGAUCUGCCCUGCACUUCGGGAUAAGCCUGGGAAACUGGGUCUAAUACCGGAUAGGAGCCAUCUUUAGUGUGAUGGUUGGAAAGUUUUUUCGGUGUAGGAUGAGCUCGCGGCCUAUCAGCUUGUUGGUGGGGUAAUGGCCUACCAAGGCGGCGGCGGGUAGCCGGCCUGGGAGGGUGGACGGCCACAUUGGGACUGAGAUACGGCCCAGACUCCUACGGGAGGCAGCAGUGGGGAAUAUUGCACAAUGGGCGCAAGCCUGAUGCAGCGACGCCGCGUGGGGGAUGACGGCCUUCGGGUUGUAAACUCCUUUCGCUAGGGACGAAGCUUUUUGUGACGGUACCUAGAUAAGAAGCACCGGCUAACUACGUG